GGUUAUGGCUCAGUGGUAGAGCGCUCACCUAGCACGUGUGAGGCCCUGGGUUCGAUCCCCAACACCA
Molecule: transfer RNA, 67 nt
Filed under: Marmota monax (woodchuck)
Lineage: Eukaryota; Metazoa; Chordata; Mammalia; Rodentia; Sciuridae
Description: tRNA.Ala
Rfam family: tRNA
About the family: Transfer RNA (tRNA) molecules are approximately 80 nucleotides in length. Their secondary structure includes four short double-helical elements and three loops (D, anti-codon, and T loops).
Source: RNAcentral